Long non-coding RNA from Fukomys damarensis (Damara mole-rat), 262 nucleotides. RefSeq lists it as uncharacterized. The transcript is spliced from 3 exons. The record is from RefSeq and is a predicted model, not a curated record. NCBI's taxonomy places the organism in Eukaryota, Metazoa, Chordata, Mammalia, Rodentia, Bathyergidae.
GCUGCGGGACGCGGCGCAAAGCUAGAGAAGCUAUCGCGAUCGUGUGAAAUCCGCUCAGAAAGAACCAGAUAACCGGAGGACCACAAACAAGAAGGAAGAAAAUAAAUACCCCACAGCCAAAGGUAGCCACCGACGUCGACGACGCUGAGGAUACGAGGAACAGAUGAGGCUGCUCCUUCCCAGCUGCCUGUGAGGACAACAACACAAAGGUUGCCAGGACCUGCGCUGCCCUUGAAAGGAGCUGUAUACUGGGGACAGGCGG